Molecule: non-coding RNA, 2887 nt
Organism: Macaca mulatta (Rhesus monkey)
Lineage: Eukaryota; Metazoa; Chordata; Mammalia; Primates; Cercopithecidae
Source: RefSeq, a predicted model, not a curated record
GCCCGGCCUUGUUUAUAUUUUAACACAAAUAAGGAGAUUAUAGGGUGAUAUUUUACAGAAUUCAAAGAAAAAACCCUAGAAUUUUAUAUGCAGCCAAAUUGUUAUUCAAAGCUCAGAGCAUAAUAAAGCUAUUUCCAGAAAGCCUCAGAAUGUGUCCCUCCCUCACGUCUACACUGAAAAUAUUCUUGAAGAAGGAAGUCAAAAAACAAAAAAAUAGAAAAAACAGAAAUCCAGGAAGUGCUGCAGGCCACAGGAGAAGUCUGGGGACACAAUGGGUUUGUGAAAUCUGUUAUUAGCAACAAAUCACUGCCAAUAAAAAGGUAACGCAAAGGGCAAAGAUGAGGGAAAUACAGUUGUGCAAAGCCUGACGAUCUAGAUAAUGCCAUCAGGAAGGGAGUGAGAGAACCAAGGGAUGUGGGAAGUUUGCCAAAGGGUGCCGGGAGAUCCAGGUGUGAACACGGGCAAGUCCAGGACGUGAACACGGGCAGCUGAACAGUGUGGGGCUUAAGGCCACCAUCACAGGAACUCGCUCGGCCACGCUGCGUGCCCACUGCCGUGGGGGAGAAGAGAACGUCUUUCUUUCCUUUGCAGGUUCUUAGUUGAGACAGUCUCCUGAAAAUAAAAGUGAGAUUAACACGAGAAAAAGCAACAGCGGUUUACGGAUGCCUGCCUCGCGGGAGAGGCCUCAGGUUAAAAGUAUUUCUCUCUCUCUGCAGUGGCUUUGGAGCCUUACUUCAAUAGUAUUUUAACAUGAGUCAUAAAUCCUAUGGGAAAAGACAAAGGCAGGAAAAUGUGGGGAGGAACAUUUGCAGGAAGGGCCGGGAUUCUCCCUGUCUCUGAGGGGAUGUGCAAGUGUCUUCAGGUGCGAAAGGCAGAGAGGAGGCCAGGAAGACCUCAGUCUUUGUACCUCGCUGUCCUGCCACCAGGCAAGCAGAGACGGACCGAGCAUCGCCCUGUGUUUUAAGUUUCGUCACCUCAACAACGCCCGGUAUUUUAGGGUGUUGUGGUUUGUUUCAUCAUGUGCAGCAAUUCUUGGCACCGCAGGAGCAGAGAGAGCUGUGAGGCCUCUCUUCACCCCUCACAGGGUCACAGCGACUCUCUUAUAACCACACACAGCUAACAAGAGAAAAGAACACAUUUAUGGAGCCAAAGUUUUAUGUGACACAGAAGACCCAGAGACCCAGGAAAACCUUUUUAUGCUUCGAUUAGAUGAAGCAUGGGCAGCUGUGUAGAAAUGGGAACAAUCCAGUGGGAAGGCUGAGGGGACAGACCCAGCGAGGCUGCCCAGAGCCUUCUCAGCACCCGCUGCAAAGCUCCUUCCUCCCUCCCAUGCGUGGGGGCAGGACCCUGGGAAGGAAGGCCUCCAAGGGAAGAGGGACAGAGUGACCUUCUAGGUUCUACGGCCUGCUUUGGGAGAGACGAGUUCUAUUUUCUAUGACUCACCAUGGGGAAAAGGAAUUCUGGUUUCCGUGAUUCACACGGGGGAGAAAAUGGGGCAGGAAAUAGAAGGGAAGGAGAAGGUCAGAGACGCUUUGCUUGUGAGGCCCUUAAUGGCCCCAGACCCAAGUACUCAGCACGCCAAGGUCACAUGUGGAGCCCCAGCAGCAAGCAGGAGGCACUCGGUGCCUGACGGAAUCGACACGCAAUCCUCCCCCAACAGAGACAACACCCCAGGCCUGAAAGCAGCUCCGUGUCCAGCCAUGAAACAUAAACAGGCAACAUGGAGGGAGAAGACAGCGAGGGUGAGGGUCAGCAGGAGCCACUGGCAGCAGGAACUCCGGGUGCUGGAAUUCCCAGACGAUAAACCAGCUGUGCUCGCUAUGUUUUUGGAAACAAAAGGCAAUCACAAAUAGAAAUGCUGGAAGAAGUGGGGUCAGCAGUAAUAAUAUUUCUGAAAUCACCAAAAUUCUGCCAGGAAAAGAUCUGGAGAGCCUGCGAGGCCAAGGCUAAGAUCUCCAGUGAGGGUGAGACUAAGCUGAGGACCCGCAGAUGACCGCUGCAAUGGCCGUCCGCGUCAGCCAGGACAGGCUGCGUUAGGCUGCAUAACAAAUGGCCCCACAUAAUGACAUCCCGUGCACGCUCCACCCCACCAAGGACUCUGCUCCCCACCCUCAUGCAGACGCCCAGAUGAAGUCGCACCUCGACAGGCGUCUCCAUGGCCACUGAGGCGAAAGAAGGAGCUCCACGGGAAGACUCAGCCCUGCUGUCUGCCCAGAGGGGAGCCGAAGGUAUCUAGUGAACAGCACUGAGGCACACCACAUCCAGGCACCUGCGAGGUACUUGGAAGCCUGCCCUUCCUGCAAGCAAAGCACGCCCGCUUCCUCCAAGGCAACCAUCCCGGCAUCCUCCAGCUACGUGAAGGUCAAACGUACACAAGUUGCCGCAUCCAUCCCAAGCUGGAGGGCUCUGAGUUAAAAAGAUGAAGCGUUUGCUGCCCACGCCCCUGGUAUUCAACCGAGGAGCAGGGACAGGGGCUUCCAGGGUCUGGUUUGGAAGGGGAAGAAGGCAGACCCCAGCAGCCAGGCUCUGCAGUGGCUCCAAAGUCCCAUCGGGUGGCUGGGGGAGGACCCCAACCCCGGGGAGCAAUUUCCUGGAAGAGAUGUGGGCUGUGGUCGGUGGAGGGGACACCUCCCAUCCCCACGGUCCUCUGUGGCCCCACCAGCGUGGGUGCUGGAGAGCCAAGUGGCUUCCUCAGCUCCCUUCUUGCCUGUAGAGACGUGGGGAGCCCAAGGGCUACUUUGAGUCUCAGGCUGUCACAGUCUUUGGAUCCAGCCUGUGUUUUUAGGACAGUGCAACUCUUUCAAAUCUUUGAUCAACUUUCUUUUUCUUUUUCUUUUUCUUUUUUUUGAGGCAGGUGUCGCAGGCGUCCUUGUGAAGAGACCACCAA